Molecule: ribosomal RNA, 479 nt
Filed under: uncultured bacterium
Lineage: Bacteria
Description: bacterial SSU rRNA
Rfam family: Bacterial small subunit ribosomal RNA
Source: RNAcentral
CACAUGCAAGGUCGAGGGGCAGCGAUAAAAGUAGCAAGUACUUGGUGGCGACCGGCGCACGGGUGAGUAACGCGUAUGCAACCUACCUAGUCAGAGGGGAAUAACCCGGCGAAAGUCGGACUAAUACCGACAGUAAAACAGGGGCACCGCAUGGUGAUAUUUGUUAAAGAAAUUCGCUGAUAGAUGGGCAUGCGUUCCAUUAGGGUAGUGGUGAGGUAACGGCUCACCAAGCCGACGAUGGAUAGGGGAACUGAGAGGUUGGUCCCCCACACUGGUACUGAGACACGGACCAGACUCCUACGGGAGGCAGCAGUGAGGAAUAUUGGUCAAUGGGCGGGAGCCUGAGCCAGCCAAGUCGCGUGAAGGAAGAAGGAUCUAUGGUUCGUAAACUUCUUUUGCAGGGGAAUAAAGUGCAGGACGUGUCCUGUUUUGUAUGUACCCUGAGAAUAAGGAUCGGCUAACUCCGUGCCAGCCGCCGC